UUCCUUCGUGACGACCACUGUUGUCUUUCCAGCUUGAGCGGAAUGGCAAAGAAAAGCGGACCACGACUCUGGGUUCUCUUCCUUCGUGACUCCACGUUGGAUCGAAGACCCGUCGCCAUGUCUACGAGGCACGCAGACACACUGACAUCAACAGCUGGUGACCAUUUGUCUACCCUCCCUGGUGCUCGCUCACACCACAAGUGUGCUCACGCCUCUUCACACUGCGAAAGCUGCCCUACUUUCUGCACAAAGAGGUUAACAUAGCAACGCCACAACACCGCACCCUGGAUGAGUAAUCAAUCAGCCGAUGGAAAGACCAAGGAAAACGGGAGCUGCAUUAACUGUUCUCAACGAGGCCUUGCGACAACAAGCCUUACAGCACUGUCCAGGGUCACAGAGAGAGCUGGUUGAACGUGCGAUAAACAAGGCUUAACGCCGAAGGCCACAACUGAGUGCUAUUAAAACUGUCGACGAACAGGGUCAACAGAUAGAGCUGCAUACCAGCAAUCCAACACAAUGGAAUGCUUCCUCGAACACUGCUGUCUAAAUGUACUAAAAUGACAGUUCCAUUCUUCAGCAGGUUCUGCAGCAAGAAUCAAGCUCUUACAGUCAGUAUCAAAGUUACACAUAUAGAUGUGUGGAAAAGUAAAAUCACAAAAAGUGGUAAUUUCUUAAAAGAUGAUCUGUUUUGGUACUGUAUUUGCUAUGUUCCUAACCAAAUACAGCUGCAAUAACAUGGUAUGAAAUAGUUCAUUUUUCACAAUACCAAUAUUACUCUGAAUAUUUUCACAAUUUUUGGAGUGUAUUUUAAUUAGUAUCUAACUUCUGAAAAUAAAUGGAUUGGUGGUGUUGAAGGCAGGCUGAAAGCUAAAGGGAGGCAAUCUUAUUUUCACUACUUAAAUUAUCAGUACAAUGAACAAAAAGAAAUUUUACUUUCUAAAUUAGCUGUUUUUUCCACACAUGAGUUAGUUUAAUUUUUAAAAGAUCAUAGAUGGCGUAUUUUUGGGGAACAAACAAAACCACUCUAGUAGUAAUCUAUCUUGUGUGAUAUUCUUUUCUGAGGAAGAUCUACUGUGCUUGACAAUCCAUAAAGCGCCAGAACCAACCAUAUCUGGAGUAACGGUUUCUUCUGCCAUUCGUCGUAUGAUUUUGUCUACAGCCAUAUUUUCUCCACUUCCAUCACAGUAAAUCUGACAAUUUCUCAUCUUGAACCGCUUUGCUACAUUCUGGAUUCUGGAUCAAUGUGCAUCAACGCGAACUGAAAUUUUCUGAUGUGUUGGGAUCUGUUGUGCAACGCCUCUUCCGCCUGUGUGUGCAUGCAGGACAUGGGUGGAAGUUUCCAUGGUAGACCAGUACAUUGGACAGACUCAUCUCAGAAAACCGACGUAAGCAACUGCCUCAUGUGCCAAAGCUGGCCUAAUGAAGGCUUCCAAUCCCAGCUACCAAGACUUUUCUCUAUAUAAUUAUGUGUGCAGGGGACUACAAAUGUGCAUUUCAAUGUGUGAGUGUGUGUGUGUUGCAUGCUUAUCAGAUUAGUAUAAUUUUUUUUAAAGCAUGUUAAGCCUACAUGGGAAUAGCGCUAUAUGAAAACACUAAUAUGAUUAUUAUUACCAUUAUUUAGGCUGAGCUUUUGUUCUGCAAUCAAAUUAAGCAUGCACAUAAAUAUGUGUAUAUAUAUAUACACAAGGAAACUGCAAGGUAGCUCUUCCUUAAAACUAACUAAUCAACCAAUGUAGACUGCAACAAACUAACUCUUCUUCAGCUAUGUGGUUUGGUUGCUAUCCUGCAAAAUGUAUUGCUACAAUAUGUGAUCAAGUAGUAGUUAAACAUGAGGAGAAAUGAAAACUUGCAAGUGUAACAUUUUUUUUUUAAAAAAACCUAGUUGUUUGGCAGUUUUCCCUGAAACGAUCAUAAAAUAGCAUUCACUUUUGUACAAUAAAAAUAUAGAAAUAAAACUGGAAGGAAGGUAACAAAAGUAAAUACAUUAAUGGAUGGUUGAAUAAUGAGAGAAUGGACAAUGAGAGAAGGGGAAAAAGGAAGCUUAAGGAAGUGAAGAAUAUAAAGAGGGCAACUGGCAGACGGUAAGAACCAAAACAAUUACACAGUCAUUUUAAAGACUUGCACGCAGGAAAAAAAAAUGAAUUUACAACUGAAUGUAUAAUGAACAUUUUUUAAAAACAUAAAAUCAAAUUUGCUUUUAUAAUUUUCUAAGAAUAUGUUCAAAUUCUAUCCGCGUUAUGUUUUUAUACUGUGCUUUAGCAGAUAAAAAAGCUUUUAAAUUUUCUUACUUUUGAAAAAACAUUUACUUAGCUAGGAGGAUCCUUAACACUAUUUUCCAAACACUAGAGAGAACAUUUCAGAUCCAGCGCUAAUCAUACAAAUGAAAAAGUAUAUAAAUAACAAACGUUCUCUCAGUGAUUAGAAUAAGAAUCUUAUGUAAAAACUCCCUUAAGCAGCUUACAAAAAGAGUAAAAGGAAGUACACAAGCCAGAAUGAAAACUUCUUGUGAUAUCCUUGUGGAAGGAUGUAAAAUCUUCCAAGUUUUGAUAGAUUUCCUUUAUCACUUUUACUCUUCAGAAAACUCGACCCUUUCUCCACAACUAAAGAAAUAUCAAAAUGUACCAAGAAGCAGAAGGCAAGUAUGCGAGCACAUGUGUUCUCAUAUAAGUGUGAGAUAGAUAUGAGCUAAACAGGAGAUAAACCAAAAAUGACUUCUGUAGUUUGAGAGCAGUUACUGGGAAAAUGGGGAAAGGAAAACAAGUUGAUCUAUUCAUAUAAUGAUAGCAAGAAUAUGGAAGCAAAGAAAAUAGAAAUUUAUAAGCACACAAAAAAGAUAAUUAACAUUUACACAAACACGCCAAUACACAGAGACAAAGAGACCAAGAAAGAAGCAAAGAAAACUGUUAAGAAACAUCUGCUGUGUUCAGGCUAGUGCACAAGUUUAUUAUCACAUGGUGCCACUAAUGUAUGUCUCAUGAAAGAUAUCAGCACAUUUUAUAAUACAAAUGUGCCAUGGCAAAACAUGCCAGACAGCAUGACACAGCAUUCUAACUUGGGCUUGUACAAUACAGAGCUUAAGUAGAAAACAUCAAAUGGCAGAAAGGAAACAUUAGUUUCUAUGAUACCAGUAGAAUAAUGACAAUGGUGGGCUCUGCUACAAAUUUAGCACCUGGCUUUCAUGCUGUUCCCAGUAUUAGACUUAUAGCAACUGUAACAACAUAAUUGACCAGAUACAUGUUAACAAUGUAACUGAUAAUCUUGUGAACAAUUUUCAGCAUUGCUUUUUUUA
Pomacea canaliculata is the source of this 3289-nucleotide long non-coding RNA. RefSeq lists it as uncharacterized. The transcript has 4 exons. The record is from RefSeq and is a predicted model, not a curated record. NCBI's taxonomy places the organism in Eukaryota, Metazoa, Mollusca, Gastropoda, Architaenioglossa, Ampullariidae.